UCCCUGGCAUCUUCAAGUGACUUGAAUAUGUAUCUGUGCAUCACACUCCAUGGCUCAGAAUCUUGAAGGUACGAAGGCAGAUCUCUGCAUUCUAUGGCUUCCACACCAGGUUCUAAUUCCUCCUGAGAAAGAUCAGAUUAGGUCAAGAUGGAAUAAUCAAAUCAAGAAUAAAUUGUCUAAAAAGUAAAAAGUGUAAUAAUACUAAGAAAUGUGGAGAUUUUGCUUCAAAUUUGAAGAGUUUAAAAUGAUGUUUAAGAGCGGUACCUUGAGAAUCGAAGUGGCCAUGGCGUCUUAGAAGGUGGAUGUGAUAGUACAUGGUGAAGGCUAAAGCCGGUUCCGUCCAAAACGAAAUAUGAACAAGGCAGUGCUUCUUAGCCACCGCCGACGGCCACACGAAGAAAGAGUCGGCUAUGAGAUACGACACCGGCGGAUUUACAUCGGAGCUUAGUAGGUUUCCGAUGAACUCAUCGACGAUAACCGGGAAGGCGAGCAACAAUCCUUCCAUAAACUCAUUGUGAUUUCUGGAACGGUCAAAACUGAGGGGAAAACCGUCGCUGAGUGUGACGUAGCGAAUGUCGAAGCCGUGAAGGUUCCUCUGAUCGGAGAAAAUGUCUUCGUCGUCGGGAGAUUCUCCGGUGAGUGAGCGGGCUAGGGUUAUUUUGGAGUGAGUUAUCUGUGUGUUGAUGAAGGUGAUGGUGAAGCCGUUUGAAGCGAGCUUGAGUGCGAGCUCCACGGAAGGGAUUAAGUGGCCUUGAAGAGGGACUGGCACCAUGAUAGCAUGAGGCUUCAUAUGCUGCUCUGCCGCUGCCGCCAUUGUUGUGUUUGGUUCAAGCUUCGUUGAUUGCCUGUAACUCUAUCAUUGCCACCGUUUAAUAUAUUAUAAAUUUUGUCUGCACAUCA
Ipomoea triloba (trilobed morning glory) is the source of this 900-nucleotide long non-coding RNA. RefSeq lists it as uncharacterized. The record is from RefSeq and is a predicted model, not a curated record. NCBI's taxonomy places the organism in Eukaryota, Viridiplantae, Streptophyta, Magnoliopsida, Solanales, Convolvulaceae. The transcript is spliced from 2 exons.